AACGCGAAGAACCUUACCAGGUCUUGACAUCCCAUUGACCAUCAGAGUAACGUCUGACUUCCUUCGGGACAAUGGAGACAGGUGGUGCAUGGUUGUCGUCAGCUCGUGUCGUGAGAUGUUGGGUUAAGUCCCGCAACGGGCGCAACCCUUAUCUUUAGUAGCCAGCGGAUAGAGCCGGGCACUCUAGAGAGACUGCCGGGGAUAACCCGGAGGAAGGCGGGGAUGACGUCAAAUCAUCAUGCCCCUUAUGAUCUGGGCUACACACGUGCUACAAUGGCGGCCACAAAGAGAAGCAAACCCGCGAGGGGGAGCAAAUCCCAAAAAAGCCGCCCCAGUUCGGAUUGUAGUCUGCAACUCGACUACAUGAAGCUGGAAUCGCUAGUAAUCGCGAAUCAGAAUGUCGCGGUGAAUACGUUCCCGGGUCUUGUACACACCG
RNAcentral lists this ribosomal RNA (436 nucleotides) under uncultured bacterium. RNAcentral's name for it is "bacterial SSU rRNA". It matches the Rfam family "Bacterial small subunit ribosomal RNA", at positions 958 to 1392 of the family's 1533-position model. The record is from RNAcentral.